Molecule: long non-coding RNA, 619 nt
Filed under: Homo sapiens (human)
Lineage: Eukaryota; Metazoa; Chordata; Mammalia; Primates; Hominidae
Description: non-protein coding lnc-LARP7-13:1
Source: RNAcentral
AGCUCAGGAGUUUGAGACCAGCCUGGGCAACACGGUGAAACCCCAUCUCUACUAAUAUACAAAAAAUUAGCCAGACGUGGCAGCCUGCGCCUAUAUAGUCGCAGCUACUUGGGAGGCUGAGGCAGGAGAAUUGCUUGAACCUGGGAGGUAGAGGUUGCUGUGAGCUGAGAUUGCUCCACCGCACUCCAGCCUGGACAACAGAGCAAGACUCCGUCUCAAAAAAAAAAAAAAAAAUAGAACCCUCUAUAAUGCUUGAUUUAAUAACAUAUUAGACUAUUGUAUGUCCAGGAAAUAUGUAAGUUCUCUCUGUAAAUCUGCUGCCUUUCAUUGCAGCAAAUCUUUGCAUAUACAUGCACAUAGAGCACAUGGUUUGUAUUUUAUUUUUGUGAAAUGUAAAUAUCCACCUAUCCUCUAUCUCAAUUAUCAGUUGCUGCAUAACAACCAUUCCAAUGUUCAGGGCUUUAAAACAGUAGCUAUCAUUUAUUUGCUCCCGAUUCUGAGAUUUGUGCAGGACUUGGCAGUUUGCUCCACAUGGCAUCAGCUGGAGCAGCUUGACUGGGGUUGGAUGAUCCACUUCCAAGGUGGCCUAUUCACAUGACUGGUACAUUGGUGCUAGUUG